CCUACGGGGGGCAGCAGUGAGGAAUAUUGGUCAAUGGUCGGGAGACUGAACCAGCCAAGCCGCGUGAGGGAUGAAGGUACAGAGUAUCGUAAACCUCUUUUGCACGGGGAUAACACCCUCCACUUGUGGAGGUCUGCAGGUACCGUGCGAAUAAGGGCCGGCUAAUUCCGUGCCAGCAGCCGCGGUAAUACGUAGGUGGCAAGCGUUGUCCGGAUUUACUGGGUGUAAAGGGCGUGCAGCCGGAGAGACAAGUCAGAUGUGAAAUCCACGGGCUCAACCCGUGAACUGCAGUUGAAACUGGUUCCCUUGAGUGUCGGAGAGGUGAUCGGAAUUCCUAGUGUAGCGGUGAAAUGCGUAGAUAUUAGGAAGAACACCAGUGGCGAAGGCGGAUUACUGGACGGUAACUGACGGUGAGGCGCGAAAGCGUGGGGAGCAAACAGGAUUAGAUACCCGGGUAGUC
RNAcentral lists this ribosomal RNA (460 nucleotides) under uncultured bacterium. RNAcentral describes it as "partial 16S ribosomal RNA". It matches the Rfam family "Bacterial small subunit ribosomal RNA", at positions 338 to 795 of the family's 1533-position model. The record is from RNAcentral.